CAUGGAGACCGGCAGGUGAGCCGCACAGGCGCGCGUGGUCCCUGCCCCACCCGCGCUGAGCGAAGAGGAUGCGGUUGUCAAGGCGACAUGGAUAGGAGGAGGAGAGGACCGAGGGAGGAAGAAGGAUGGGCUGCCUUGGCGUAGCCGCAGGGAGGUGACUGAAGCGAGUCCAGCCCCUUGCAUCCUCCCCCUGUGUACCUCCCUCCUCUUUUUUUUUUUUUUUUUUUUUUUCCUCCUCUGCCAGCAUAAGCAGCCACCGCAGCACCUGAGCCGCUACUGCCGCUGGCUCAGGACAGCGCUAUGGCAGAGCCUGGUCACAACCCCCAUCCUUCUGCCAGAGACGGAGGAAAAACUGAAAGGCGCACACCCCGGCUUCUGUGGCUGUUGCUUUGGGCUGGGACCACCUUCCAGGUGACCCUGGGAACCGGACCCGAGCUUCACGCCUGCAAAGAGUCAGAGUACCAUUUUGAGUACACAGCGUGCGACAGCACAGGUUCCAGGUGGAGGGUCGCCGUGCCACACAGCCCGGGCUUGUGCACCAGCCUCCCAGACCCCGUCAAGGGCACCGAGUGCUCCUUCUCUUGCAAUGCCGGGGAAUUUCUGGAUAUGAAGGACCAGUCCUGCAAGCCCUGCGCGGAGGGCCGCUACUCCCUCGGCACUGGCAUCCGAUUUGAUGAGUGGGAUGAGCUACCUCACGGCUUUGCCAGCCUCUCGGCCAACUUGGAGGUCGAUGACAGCAUCUCGGAGUCCACUGAGAACUGCACUUCGUCCAAGUGGGUUCCCCGGGGAGACUACAUCGCCUCCAACACAGAUGAAUGCACCGCCACACUGAUGUAUGCCGUCAACCUAAAGCAGUCUGGCACCGUUAACUUUGAGUACUACUACCCGGACUCCAGCAUCAUCUUUGAAUUUUUUGUCCAGAAUGACCAGUGCCAGCCCAGUGCUGAUGACUCCAGGUGGAUGAAGACUACGGAGAAAGGAUGGGAAUUCCACAGUGUUGAGCUAAAUAGAGGCAAUAACGUCCUCUAUUGGAGAACCACAGCUUUCUCGGUGUGGUCCAAAGUGUCCAAGCCCGUGCUUGUUAGAAACAUCGCCAUAACAGGGGUGGCUUACACCUCCGAGUGUUUCCCCUGCAAGCCUGGCACAUACGCUGCCAAGCAGGGCUCCCCUUUCUGCAAGCUUUGUCCAGCCAACUACUACUCAAACAAAGGAGAAACGUCCUGCCAUCCGUGUGAUGCUGACAAAUACUCAGAAAAAGGAUCUUCCACCUGCAAAGUGCGCCCAGCCUGCACAGACAAGGACUAUUUCUACACCCACACAGCCUGUGAUGCUCAGGGAGAGACACAGCUCAUGUACAAAUGGGCCAUACCAAAAAUCUGCGGUGAGGACCUGGAGGGGGCGGUGAAGCUGCCCGCCUCUGGUGUGAAGACCCGCUGCCCACCCUGUAACCCGGGCUUCUUCAAAACCGACAACAGCACCUGUGAACCUUGCCCAUACGGCUCGUACUCCAACGGCUCGGAUUGUACCCACUGCCCAGCAGGAACUGAGCCUGCCGUGGGAUUUGAGUACAAAUGGUGGAACACACUGCCCUCCAACAUGGAAACUACGGUUCUCAGUGGGAUCAACUUUGAAUACAAGGGCCUGACAGGCUGGGAGGUGGCUGGUGACCACAUUUAUACAGCUGUUGGUGCCUCAGACAACGACUUCAUGAUUCUCACUCUGGUUGUACCAGGAUUUAGACCUCCACAGUCAGUGGUGGCAGACACAGAGAACAAAGAGGUGGCCAGGAUCACAUUUGUCUUCGAGACCAUCUGCUCUGUGAACUGUGAGCUCUACUUCAUGGUGGGCAUGAAUUCCAGGACCAAUACUCCUGUGGAGACGUGGAAGGGCACCAAAGGCAAGCAGUCCUAUACCUACACCAUCGAAGAGAAUGCUACUGUGAGCUUCACAUGGGCCUUCCAGAGGACCACCCUUCAUGAAACAGGCAGGAAGUAUACUAAUGAUGUCGCCAAGAUCUACUCAAUCAAUGUCACCAACGUCAUGGGGGGCGUGGCCUCCUACUGCCGUCCCUGUGCCCUAGAAGCCUCUGAUUUGGGCUCCUCCUGCACCUCUUGUCCUGCUGGCCAUUACAUCAACCGGGAUUCUGGGACCUGCCACCUCUGUCCCUCUAACACCAUCCUGAAAGCUCACCAGCCUUACGGUGCACAGGCCUGUGUGCCCUGUGGUCCAGGGACCAAGAAUAACAAGAUCCACUCUCUCUGCUACAACGACUGCACCUUCUCCCGAAACACCCCCAGCAGGAUUUUCAACUACAACUUCUCAGCUCUGGCAGGCACCGUCUCUCUGGCAGGGGUGCCGAGCUUCACCUCGAAGGGGCUGAAGUAUUUUCAUCAUUUCACCCUGAGUCUCUGUGGAAACCAGGGGAAAAAAAUGGCUGUGUGCACAGACAAUGUCACUGACCUCCGGAUCCCUGAUGGUGAGGCCGGCUUCUCUAAGUCCGUCACAGCCUAUGUCUGCCAGGUUGUCAUCAUCCCCUCUGAGGUGAUGGGCUACAAGGCCGGGGUGUCCUCACAGCCCGUCAGCCUUGCUGACCGACUUGUUGGAGUGUCAACAGACAUGACCUUGGAAGGAAUCGUCUCCCCAGUUGAACUUUUUCACCCAGAGACCUCGGGAAUUCCGGACAUAGUCUUCUUUUUUAGAUCCAAUGAUGUGACCCAGUCCUGCAGUUCUGGAAGAUCAACCACCAUCCGCCUCAGAUGCAAUCCAAUGAAAGCUGCUCCUGGCACCCUGCGGCUACCCAGCAUGUGCUCUGAUGGGACCUGUGAUGGCUGUAACUUCCACUUCCUGUGGGAGAGUGUGGCCGCUUGUCCACUCUGCUCGGCCUCUGACUACCACACUUUUGUCAGCAGCUGUGUGGCUGGGAUCCAGAAGACUACUUACAUGUGGCGAGAACCAAAGCUGUGCUCUGGGGGCAUUUCCCUGCCUGAGCAGAGAGUUACCAUCUGCAAAACGAUCGAUUUCUGGUUAAAAGUGGGCAUCUCGGCUGGCACCUGCACUGCCAUCCUGCUUACUGUCCUGACCUGCUACUUUUGGAAGAAGAAUCAAAAAAACAAGCAGCCUUGAAGAAAAAAGAUCACUAACCUGGGAAGCAAGAUCCCUUCUGUUCACCUGCCCUCCACGCCCUUUCACAAGGCUUUGCCCUUCCUAUGACAGACUCAAUCUAUUUGUAGCCCAACCUUUUCCCCUCGCUCCCACACUCUCAUCUCCUGCCUCCUCCCCUCCCCUGUUUCACAGAUUAGAAUACAAAUACUCCAAGUUGGUAAUGAACGCUACUCUUAAAGACUGCGACCUGCCGGCAGCAGACAGCUGUGCCAUCAUGGAAGGAGAGGACGUGGAGGAUGACUUCAUCUUUACCAGCAAGAAGUCCCUCUUUGGGAAGAUCAAAUCCUUUACCUCCAAGAGGACUCCUGAUGGAUUUGACUCGGUGCCGCUGAAGACGUCUUCAGGAGGCCCAGACAUGGACAUGUGAGAGGUGCCCGUCCUGCCUCGCCUGCCUCCUCACCUGGGCACACUACCCUGCAGGCCUGUGGCAGUUUAGGUGCCAGCAACCCUGCGCUCCCCGCUGCUGGGAAUCUCUUCAUUGUGGCCUUAUCAGAAGUUUGGAUUUCAGACCCUUGUUUUUUAUAGAGUACCCAAACCUGUCUCUACGCUUGCCUCAAGCCUACCAAAUAUACCCACACUUCGUGUACUGUUUCCUUGCUUACAUCUUGUUUUCUAAACACAGUCCACCCAUGGGAGACUCAUCUACCCAGAAUUCUUAGCGGUUUUCAGUAAAAGUAGUUUGUUUUUUGUUUUUUUUUAAAUAAGUACGAAAUUGGCUUCUAGCCUCCUGUGUGAGGGCGGGGGCAGCUGGGAGGUUUUCUGGUCAGAUACAGGCUUUCAGCUCAUGAUGUCUUUAGAAGGGGGCUGUGGUCUGAGGGACAGUCCUCAUGGCAGCCUCGACUUAUUUCUCCUGGGUAAUAAGUUGGAGCAGAGAGCAGUGGACAGUCUGAAGGCAUGGUGGGUGAAGCCUGUGUAAGAAAACACACACACACACACACACACAAAACUCAAAAAAAGGCAAAGUGUCUGUGUGUGUGUGGGGGGGGGGGGGUGUUUGUUUUGUUUUAUAACCAGGAACCUCAUUUCCUUCUCUUUUAAUGAUAAAUAUUCUCAUUAAAGGCAAAGGAAGUUAUUUACCAAGAACUUGCCCAAAGUCCAAUAGAUCUAUCCUCCACGACUGUUUUUGUCAAAUAUCCCUCCCAUUUCCUUAUGACACUAGAAAGAACCAGGUAAGUCUAGCUAUACCUUCCAUUGGCUUUGCUGGAAGGGAAUAAACGCUUGCCAGUGAGAAACACCCCCAUCUGUGAGGACCUCAGUCCUAGAGGCCUAGAGUAUCAUGGGAUGGAGCAUCUUAUUUAGAAAGAACACAGGGGGCCAAAGGUUUGAUGGGGCAGUAUUAGACUCCAGCCCACUGUGGCAUGGACCAGCUAUGGUCAUAUCUGUUUCUGUCUUUAACUUGCUAGGCCAACAAAGUUAAAAACUUGCAGACUGACCAGAAAGGAGCUGAACGUCAGGCAGGUACAAACCAAUCUUCAGGGAGAAAAAGUAGGGAUGUCUUACAAGGCCUACACCCAACUGGGGCAUUUGUCACUCCUAAGCCUCUGUCCUGGCUCUGGCCUAUUCUCAUUUCACUUGUGCAUAAAUAUCUAAAAGACUCCUGGCCCUCAUUCUGGCAACACCCCUCUGAAAAGUAGAUUAGGUACCAACUCGCAAGUAGAGUGGGAUUCCUCUUCCCAUCUCCCUUUCACUCCAGCUAUAAUCAGUAGAAAACCUAGAAUAGAAUAAUACAGAGAAUAAUUUCCAGUUAACUUUCCUCCCUACUACUGGGAAUUGAACCUCUUUCAUUCCAUACCGGAAUAGCCAUCUCUUGGUCAAGCCUGAGUUGCCCAUGGUCUUCACCUGUGCCUUUCCCCCAGUGACAGGUGGUUGGUAUAAGACAGAGAGGCAUUUCUGAGGUGUUUGUCAGCCACAAAAUGGCUUGCCCAUCUGACUAGCCAUGGCUGCUCUCAUGAUGGCUUCUAAGAAUCAGAAAGAAGUGAAGCUACGCCAUGACUUUUGGCCAUCAAAGGCAUCAGUGAUAGCUAGACAAACCUAGAAGCUUUUCUUUGGGAGUUCAAGUUGUCCCUCAUUUUGUGGCUCUCAGCACUUUGAUCAUACGGGAAUAUUCUUGAGUGGCUAUGUACACCCAGGCCAUGAGCUCACAGCCAGUCUCCUGCAGCCUCUUAGAUGUCUGCUUCCCAUGGAAUAACUGCUUUCUGUGUUGAAGAUCACAGGAGAUAUUUAGACUGUUCUGGAAGACAUGGGGGAAAGUCUAUCUCUUUGGACUUCUUUAUUCAGACAUCCUGGAAUUGAAUGUCCUUCCUCCCAAGCAUCCUCAAACAGCACUGAUUCAAUGAUAGCACUUUUUGCACCUCUACCUUACUCUUUCCUGGGAUGGUUUCCAAAGGAAGAGGCUCACCUGUUGCUUCUCUGGCAGCUCAACAAGUUCAGAUAAUUUCAGGGGCUCUACUAACACAUAAUUCACAUACUGCAUAAGUCACCCUUUCAAAGCAUACAACUUUGUGACUUUAGGUAUAUCAAUUUUAGUUUUCUGGGCUGAAGAUGAAACCCAGGGUGUCUCACAUGUUAAGCAAAGUGUUCUACCACUGAGCUACAUCAUUGACCAUGAACAUACAGUUGAGAACACAUACACUAGGUCUGCAAGGGAGAACGGCUUUAGUCUUUGAGCCAGGACUGUGGUAGUCUGCGCAAACUUUAGGGCCAGAGAGUUGGCUCAGGAGAUAAUGUCUAAUCUCUAUUUGGAUAUAUAGAGUCCUAGAAUACAUAAUUUCAUCCUGUAGUUAGUCAUCACCUGUAUUUGGCUGGGAAUACAUAUGAAGAUUAUGGUAUAUCCAAGGCCCAGGGGAUUUCUUAUGCCAUCAAAACUUUUUUUUUUUUUGGUCCAACUAUAUUAAAGACUGACUAUAUUUAUAUAACAGAAGCUUUGUAAAAGAUUUUUUGGCUUUGUGAAAUCAUAUCUGUGUCUCAUCAAGACAUGUUGGAUUCCCUUUUUAUUCUGUAUUUCAAGCAUUUAGUUUAUUAGGGAUGGGUAUGCAUGUCUCCCCCUCCCCCAAAAUAAAAACAUAUCUUUUGA
This is an RNA transcript of Mus musculus (house mouse), 6235 nucleotides long. It is a transcript of the gene named endosome-lysosome associated apoptosis and autophagy regulator 1, with no coding region annotated. The record is from RefSeq and is marked validated. Lineage: Eukaryota; Metazoa; Chordata; Mammalia; Rodentia; Muridae. The transcript has 22 exons.